UACGGGGGGGGCAAGCGUUGUUCGGAAUUACUGGGCGUAAAGGGCUCGUAGGCGGCCAACUAAGUCAGACGUGAAAUCCCUCGGCUUAACCGGGGAACUGCGUCUGAUACUGGAUGGCUUGAAUCCGGGAGAGGGAUGCGGAAUUCCAGGUGUAGCGGUGAAAUGCGUAGAUAUCUGGAGGAAUACCGGUGGCGAAGGCGGCAUCCUGGACCGGCAUUGACGCUGAGGAGCGAAAGCUAGGGGAGCAAACGGG
This 253-nucleotide ribosomal RNA is filed under the name uncultured bacterium. Its description in RNAcentral is "partial 16S ribosomal RNA". It matches the Rfam family "Bacterial small subunit ribosomal RNA", at positions 524 to 776 of the family's 1533-position model. The record is from RNAcentral.